UCACUGUUGGAAGCCAAUUGACUGCCACAAGUUCAUAGUCGAAACUAGGAGAGUUUAAAUCUCUUCAAUACUAUUCUGAUGAUGCUGAGAUCACCUUCAGAAGCCAAAAGAUGGUACCUAAGUCAUUGUUGGAAAAGAAUUUAUGGAAGGCUUCCACAUUAUGCAAUCAAAACUAAGAUAGACUCCAUCAUAUGAGUGUUGUCCCUACAA
This 210-nucleotide long non-coding RNA is filed under the name Elaeis guineensis (African oil palm). RNAcentral describes it as "long non-coding RNA (EGUI_LNC011883)". Lineage: Eukaryota; Viridiplantae; Streptophyta; Magnoliopsida; Arecales; Arecaceae. The record is from RNAcentral.